GAGAUUAUAGUCAACCAUGACAUUUGACUUGCACUCAUAAAGUGCUCUAAAGAGCUAAUCUU
RNAcentral lists this transfer RNA (62 nucleotides) under Macrobrachium bullatum. RNAcentral describes it as "tRNA-Ala". The record is from RNAcentral. Lineage: Eukaryota; Metazoa; Arthropoda; Malacostraca; Decapoda; Palaemonidae.